UUCGUAGGCGGUCCUUUAAGUCAGAAGUGAAAGGCAGUGGCUCAACCAUUGUAAGCUUUUGAAACUGGGGGACUUGAGUGUUGGAGAGGAAAGCGGAAUUCCUAGUGUAGCGGCGAAAUGCGUAGAUAUUAGGAGGAACACCAGUGGCGAAGGCGGCUUUCUGGACAAAUACUGACGCUGAGGAACGAAAGCGUGGGGAGCGAACAGGAUUAGAUACCCUGGUAGUCC
This 228-nucleotide ribosomal RNA is filed under the name uncultured bacterium. RNAcentral describes it as "partial 16S ribosomal RNA". It matches the Rfam family "Bacterial small subunit ribosomal RNA", at positions 568 to 796 of the family's 1533-position model. The record is from RNAcentral.